AAUAAGACUCUCGGCAACGGAUAUCUUGGCUCUCGCAUCGAUGAAGAACGUAGCAAAAUGCGAUACCUGGUGUGAAUUGCAGAAUCCCGUGAACCAUCGAGUUUUUGAACGCAAGUUGCGCCUGAGGCCUUUUGGUCGAGGGCACGUCUGCCUGGGCGUCACGC
RNAcentral lists this ribosomal RNA (164 nucleotides) under Sporobolus rigens. RNAcentral describes it as "5.8S ribosomal RNA". It matches the Rfam family "5.8S ribosomal RNA". From Rfam's summary of the family: 5.8S ribosomal RNA (5.8S rRNA) is a component of the large subunit of the eukaryotic ribosome. It is transcribed by RNA polymerase I as part of the 45S precursor that also contains 18S and 28S rRNA. Functionally, it is thought that 5.8S rRNA may be involved in ribosome translocation. The record is from RNAcentral. Lineage: Eukaryota; Viridiplantae; Streptophyta; Magnoliopsida; Poales; Poaceae.